UGGGUAGUCCGUACGAGCGCACCUUGUCCCUAGUUGCCAGCACUUCGGGUGGGAACUCUAGGGAGACUGCCGGUGAUAAACCGGAGGAAGGUGGGGAUGACGUCAAGUCAUCAUGGCCCUUAUGGGGAGGGCUACACACGUGCUACAAUGGCCGGUACAGAGGGCAGCGAAGCCGCGAGGUGGAGCGAAUCUCAGAAAACCGGUCGUAGUCCGGAUUGCAGUCUGCAACUCGACUGCAUGAAGCCGGAAUCGCUAGUAAUCGCGGAUCAGAACGCCGCGGUGAAUACGUUCCCGGGCCUUGUACACACCGCCCGUCACACCAUGGGAGUGGGCUGUAUCAGAAGUAGGUAGUCUAACCUUCGGGAGGACGCUUACCACGGUGUGGUUCAUGACUGGGGUGAAGUCGUAACAAGGUAGCCCUAGGGGAACCUGGGGCUGGAUCACCUCCUUU
Molecule: ribosomal RNA, 451 nt
Filed under: uncultured Chromatiales bacterium
Lineage: Bacteria; Pseudomonadati; Pseudomonadota; Gammaproteobacteria; Chromatiales
Description: bacterial SSU rRNA
Rfam family: Bacterial small subunit ribosomal RNA
Source: RNAcentral